UGACCUCAAAUCGGGUGAGACUACCCGCUGAACUUAAGCAUAUCAAUAAGCGGAGGAAAAGAAACUAACAAGGAUUCCCCUAGUAACUGCGAGUGAAGCGGGAAAAGCUCAAAUUUAAAAUCUGGCGGUCCUUGGCUGUC
This 140-nucleotide ribosomal RNA is filed under the name uncultured Russulaceae. RNAcentral's name for it is "partial 28S ribosomal RNA". It matches the Rfam family "Eukaryotic large subunit ribosomal RNA", at positions 1 to 139 of the family's 3401-position model. The record is from RNAcentral. Lineage: Eukaryota; Fungi; Basidiomycota; Agaricomycetes; Russulales; Russulaceae.